This 120-nucleotide ribosomal RNA is filed under the name Lactobacillaceae bacterium. RNAcentral's name for it is "partial 16S ribosomal RNA". It matches the Rfam family "Bacterial small subunit ribosomal RNA", at positions 1 to 121 of the family's 1533-position model. The record is from RNAcentral. Lineage: Bacteria; Bacillati; Bacillota; Bacilli; Lactobacillales; Lactobacillaceae.
AAAAUUGAGAGUUUGAUCCUGGCUCAGGAUGAACGCUGGCGGCGUGCCUAAUACAUGCAAGUCGAACGCCUUGUCGUAAUUAUGAAUUGAAGUGCUUGCACGGAUAUGAUUAAUUGCAUU